CGGGGGGAGCAAGCGUUGUUCGGAUUUACUGGGCGUAAAGGGCGCGUAGGCGGCGCAACAAGUCACUUGUGAAAUCUCCGGGCUUAACCCGGAGCGGCCAAGUGAUACUGUCGUGCUAGAGUGCGGAAGGGGCUACUGGAAUUCUCGGUGUAGCGGUGAAAUGCGUAGAUAUCGAGAGGAACACCUGCGGCGAAGGCGGGUAGCUGGGCCGACACUGACGCUGAGGCGCGAAAGCCAGGGGAGCGAACGGGAUUAGAUACCCCGGUAGUCCUGGCCUUAAACGAUGGAUACUCGGUGUCCGGGGUUACAUAGUCCCCGGGUGCCGGCGCUAACGCAUUAAGUAUCCCGCCUGGGGAGUACGGUCGCAAGACUG
This 373-nucleotide ribosomal RNA is filed under the name uncultured organism. RNAcentral describes it as "bacterial SSU rRNA". It matches the Rfam family "Bacterial small subunit ribosomal RNA", at positions 526 to 896 of the family's 1533-position model. The record is from RNAcentral.